This 2384-nucleotide long non-coding RNA is filed under the name Olea europaea subsp. europaea. Lineage: Eukaryota; Viridiplantae; Streptophyta; Magnoliopsida; Lamiales; Oleaceae. The record is from RNAcentral.
CUUCAGUGUUGGCUGUACCUUCUCGAUCAUCCACACAAAAUCAAAACAAAGGUUAUGUGCGAGUUGCUAGUGAUGAGUGUAACUUUUGCAAACAAAAGGGACAUUGGAAGUCUCAAUGUCUCAAGCUAUUGAAGAAGUAGCAGCCACAACCACGACAGUGAUCAUAUCAUCUCAAUGCUAACGUAGCUGCUACCAUGCCAUCUAAUGACUCGUCUAUACUUAGAGCACCACCUUCUUCUAGUCCCAUGUUGACUGAUUUAGCAUAGCCGUUUCAAAAGUUCUUAGCCACACAGCCACAUGCUAUGUCAACCUCUACUCAUAUAGGUUUGUCAUUUCAGAGUCACUCAGGUAUUUCUUCCUCGUGGAUAUUUGACUCUGGUGCUUCCAAACACACGUCAUCUAACUCAAAACUUUUUAAUGACUUGCAUCCUUCUAACUCGUCUAUGUCUGUUAUGACUGCUGAUGGCACAUCAUUGCCUUUAGCAGGUGUUGGUUCUGCUAACACACAAAAUUUAUCACUUUCAGACGUUUAUUAUGUUCCAACUCUUACCUUAAAUCUUAUUUCUAUUGGCCAAUUGUGUGAUUCUGGAUAUUUAGUUUUUCUUCUACUGCUUGUCAUGUGCAGGAUCCUCGAUCUCAGAAGCUGAUUGGGGUAAGUCAUAGACAAUGAGGGUCAUAUGUUCUGGACAAUCUGAGACUAACAUAUGUUGCAGCCUCCGGUGUUGACUUGUCAUCUUUUUCUUUGAAUUCAUCGUCUUCUAGUUUUUAUUUGUAGCAUUCUCACCUUGGACAUGUUUUCGCUAGUCGUUUGAAAUUUUUAGUUUCUACGGGUCAUUUGGGAAAUUUGCAAACUCAUGACAUUUCUAAUUGUAGUGGUUGCAAAUUAGCCAAAUUUUCAGCUUUACCUUUUCCUCGUAGUGUUUCUCAUUCUGUUGCACCAUUUGAUCUUAUUCACUCUGAUGUGUGGGGACCUGCUCCUAUUACCAGAAAAGGAGGGUCUAGAUAAUAUGUUUCUUUCAUUGAUGAUUAUAGUCGUUAUUGUUGGGUUUAUCUUAUGAAACGACGUUCUGACUUUCUUUCUGUUUAUCUUUCUUUUAGAGCACUUAUUAAUACUCAACAUUCUGCUGUAAUUAAGUGCUUUAGAUGUGAUUUGGGUGGGGAAUAUAUUUCAACUGGUUUCUCUGAAUUACUUGCUCUUGAUGGCACAAUUCAUCAAACCUCGUGUACUAAUACUCCACAACAAAAUGGUGUUGCUGAACGAAAGCAUAGGCACAUUGUAGAAACUACCCGUUUCCUUCUUUUGUCUGCCAAACUUCCCAGUGAAUUUUGGGGAGAAGCAGUUCUUACUGCUGUUUCUUUAAUUAAUAAGAUUCCUUCUUCCCACAAUUCAGGAUUAUCACCCUUUGAAACAUUGUAUGGACAUCCUCCUGAUUACUCUUCAUUGAGAGUCUUUGACUUUACUUUCUUUGUUCUUCGUCCUGAGAUUGAACGUAACAAGUUGACAUCUCGCUCUGCUGUCUGUGUUUUCUUAGGUUAUGGACAGGGACAAAAGGGUUAUUGUUGUUUUGACCCCAUUAAUAAAAAAUUAUAUGUUUCUCGUCAUGUUGUAUUUCUUGAGCACAUUCCGUUCUUUUCUAUUCCUGAUAAUACUGAUGACUUGACUAAAAUUGAUCUCAUUCGUGUCGAUCCAUUUUCUAAUGAUAUUGACAGAUUGUCUUCCCAUGCCCCGUGUACUGUUGAUUCUUUAUACCCUACAGGUACACAUACACCAGCUCAUGAUACUCCUCAUGAUUCUAUGGCUUCCCAAGCACCAUUUGAGAUUGUCGAUCCAGCUCCUGCUCCCCUUAUUCAUCGAUAUCCUGAACGUAUUCGUAAGUCUACUCAGUUACCUGAUUUUGCUUAUUCAUGUUAUUCUGAGUCAUUUUGUUGUUUUCUAACCUAUAUUCAUAAGCUAUCUGAACUCACUUCCUGUAAAGAAGCUAUUCUAGAUCCUCUUUGGCAACAGGCUAUGGCUGAUGAACUUUCUGCUCUACAUAAGACAGACACUUGGGACUUAAUUGCAUUGCCUCCAGGUAAACAUGCUAUUGGUUCUCGUUGGGUUUAUAAGAUUAAAACCAAAUCUGAUGGUUCAGUUGAGCGUUACAAGGCUAGAUUGGUUGCUAAGGGUUUUACUCAGCAGUAUGGUCUAGAUUAUGAAGAAACUUUUGCUCCUGUUGCCAAGAUGACCACUGUUCGUACACUUAUUACCGUUGCAUAUGUUCGUCAGUGGAGUCUUUCUCAAUUGGAUGUCAAAAAUGCAUUUUUAAAUGGAAAUCUUCAUGAGGAGGUUUUCAUGGUUCCACCUCCUGGUCUUUCUCAUUCUCCUGGAUUUGUUUGCAAGUUCA